GACGAACGCUGGCGGCGUGCUUAACACAUGCAAGUCGAACGGGCCUGUCCUGGUUUUUACUGGGGUGGGUUAGUGGCGAACGGGUGAGUAACACGUGAGUAACCUGCCCCUCACUUCUGGAUAACCGCUUGAAAGGGUGGCUAAUACGGGGUGUUCUGGCUGUGCCGCAUGGUGUGGUUGGGAAAGAUUCACUAUUUGUUUGGUGUUUUGGUGGGGGAUGGGCUCGCGGCCUAUCAGCUUGUUGGUGGGGUGAUGGCCUGCCAAGGCUUUGACGGGUAGCCGGCCUGAGAGGGUGGGCGGUCACACUGGGACUGAGACACGGCCCAGACUCCUGCGGGAGGCAGCAGUGGGGGAUAUUGCACAAUGGGCGGAAGUCUGAUGCAGCGACGUCGCGUGAGGGAUGGAGGCCUUCGGGUUGUGAACCUCUUUCGCCGGUGAAGAAGGUCCUGCUUUUUGGGUGGGGUUGACGGUAGCCGGGUUAUGAAGCGCCGGCUAACUACGUGCCAGCAGCCGCGGUAAUACGUAGGGCGCGAGCGUUGUCCGGAAUUAUUGGGCGUAAAGGGCUUGUAGGCGGCUGGUCGCGUCUGCCGUGAAAUCCUCUGGCUCAGCUGGGGGCGUGCGGUGGGUACGGGCUGGCUUGAGUGCGGUAGGGGAGGCUGGAACUCCUGGUGUAGCGGUGGAAUGCGCAGAUAUCAGGAGGAACACCGGUGGCGAAGGCGGGUCUCUGGGCCGUUACUGACGCUGAGGAGCGAAAGCGUGGGGAGCGAACAGG
RNAcentral lists this ribosomal RNA (772 nucleotides) under uncultured Actinomyces sp. RNAcentral describes it as "bacterial SSU rRNA". It matches the Rfam family "Bacterial small subunit ribosomal RNA", at positions 28 to 776 of the family's 1533-position model. Lineage: Bacteria; Bacillati; Actinomycetota; Actinomycetes; Actinomycetales; Actinomycetaceae. The record is from RNAcentral.